GAGUAACGCCCCCAAAUCCGGGUUACAUUUAACUCGAGUUUGGUGCUCACGAUAAUAACAUAACCAUUCAUACUAUCAUAAACCUGUUUUAGAUUACAUAAAUACUUUACUUAAAUCCCAAGUUCUAUAGACCUUUACAUAACUUAAAUACCAAAUAACAUUUCAAAACAUAGUAUUACAAGUAUUUAUUACAUUCACUACUUAAGUUCAAUUAAGCACAGGCGCUUAAUUAAUGACUAUUCAACAACUUUGCCUUUUCUUUUGUCUUUCCCAGAUGGACCAGCAACCUCAGUGUUAACUGAAAUCAUUAUAUUUAACGCAAGGGUGAGCAAUAGCUUGCUCAGCAAGAAAAUAAGCAAUUAAAUAUAAUAGAACAGAAAUAUUUAUAUCAAAGAGGUUACAAUACAAUAGAUAUUGAACAAUAUAAUUCUUUAAAAGUGUUAAGCAGGCUAUAGCAUGCUGUAAGGUCAAAUGACCAAUGAACUCUAUACUAGAAUUAAUAGUAAUAAUACUGCAAUCCAUAGAUACAAACAGUUAUAAAAUCUAUUUUAUAUCCUAGACUCGUACCUUAGGGGAUCAGCCUAAGUACCCUACAUUGUGCACAACAUAACAGUUUAAUAACACUUUACAUGUCCUUCGGAAUCAUAUGUCUGGUACAAUAUGCCCCUAUAAAAGGGUUGUUCGUUCACAACAUUAUAUAAGAAUCCAUACCACAACAAAAAAGGUUUGGGAUAUAAACUGAUAAUUUCAUGAAUAAUAUCAAUAUAUCUCAACAGUUGUCUAACCGAAGUAAUGGUAUUGACAUACUUUCAAUGUAAACUCAUUCAAGAUAGAAAAGUUCGAUAUACUAUUAUUUUGAAGCUGAUUGGAAUAAAAAGGCUAUUUAACCUUAUAUUCUUUUGAAGCUGAUUGGAAUAAAAAGGCUAAUUAACCUUAUAUUAUUCAUAAAUAAGGAGAGACAGUUCAGAAAUUAGAGAACCUAUCCACUACAAAAUAGUUGCUCAAUAAAGAGUAAGAGUUAGAAACUUGCCUUGUUUGUAGUCUAUUGUUAGGAUUUCAGCUUAAUUGUAGUGUUCUCAUAAAUCCUACACAGUUAUUUACAUUAACAAGCAUGUUAGCCACAUAGCCAAGUCAUAUAGUUUGUAAGCUCACAUAUCACGUAAUUUCAAUGAUCAUGGUUGUAGUUAAAUUGCUAUAUUUGAUACAUUUUUCAAAUAUCUCAUCCAUGCUCUUAUUAUAGCCAUUUUUCUCUUUAAUAAGGUCUAGUAAGUUUGUAAUAUAUGAAUACAUUGAAAUUCUAAGUUAUAAACCAUUCAAAGCUUACUAUAUGACAUUUUAUGUUUUCUGUACAUAAUCCAAGUGUACAAGGAAAAUUUAUAGCGUAAUUCAUGUCUUUGAAGUAAUUAUAAUUUAUUUGGUUAACUUAUAGCUUUUAUAAUAAUUUAUAGCUUCAUUCUGUUGCAUCAUUAAGUUUCAUCAUGUUAUCAAAAUAGUCCUUCAAGGUAUUAACAACUUCAAACUUGGCUUAACAGCCUUUUUGAAGUAAUAGCAGUUCCUUACAUAUCAUGUCCUUCUUUGCAAGUAUCAUCUUUUACAUUACUCACUUGGUUGAACUGCAGAUUUGCUAUAUAUUUUACACACAUGUUUUAGGAGUUAGAAAUCAAGUUUUUAUGGUUAAACUUUUGUGUUAUGCCAUGAAGCUAAAACUAUCCCACUAACACUGCUGUAGCAGUUGUUAGUUGCCACUGCUGCUGCUAGUGGGCAACAGCCCUUGCCUUGGAACACAUGAGUUAAUAGUCCUUCUUCCUCCUAUUUUCAAACCCAUUCAUGCUUGAAAAAUAGAUGAUACCUUAGCUUAUGAUAAAGACCCAGCAAUUAAGCAUCUAUAGGCAUAUAGGUGUACCAACUGAAAGCUAAAUAAAGCUCCCAGCCCAUAACCAUCAUGCUCACUGUUGCUGGUACAUGCUUCUGCCUGCUAGGCAACAGCUCCUUUCUUUGCCUUCCAAUUUUUUGUACCUUAUUCUCGUCCUUUUUGACCCUUUUGCACUAAGUUUUGGGUAUUACAUAACUAGUAUAUACCCUCAUUGCAAAGAAGUACUACCUGGGCAGACAGAAGUCUAACUGUGUUAAACCCGAGCAUCAAGGGAAGCCCCAAUUAAUGCUAUACAUAGUUGCUGCUGCUGCAGUGGGCAGCAGAUGGGAUCUUUCUUUCAUGCCAUCUUUGGCUUCUCAUUAGGUAGUCCAUUCAUAACUCAUAGUUGGUAUAUCCAUCUUCUAAGAUGGGGUCAGAUUUAUCCCGACGGGAGCAAGUCUACCACUGCAUCCAUGUAAAAAUAAACAAAUCAUGGUUAUGUCAAAUUGACUGCCAGGCUCUGCAGCACAACGCUAGGCGCUGGCUGCUGCUGCCUGCAGCAGCUUUGGUAGUCCUCAACUCCUAUACAGCUCGUCCAUGUUGCAAGUUUAGUAACCUUUGAUUCAUAGGUUUGUUCAUACCCACUUUUAGAUAUAUAAUAUAUAGUAUAUAGGGGUACUUUUUGAAUUAAUAAAACCUCUAUUUCAGUUUCAAUAUACUGCCUAAAACAGUGGGUAAAAAUAGCUUGACACACUGAAUUUCAAUCAAUGGUUUCGGCUUGAAAUUGAAUUUCAUUUUAAUCUAGUAAGCUUAAACUUUCUAAUUAUCAUUAUACGUGGUGUCCGUAUCUAGCCCAAGCUUUCAUUCUAUCAAAUAACCAACUUUUAAGCAAAACAGUCCUUUAGGGACUUUUAUCAAACUACUAAUGUGCAUAAUUUAAAACUACUUGUGUCAUAGCUAUUUGCAUGUAUUAACACACCAUUUUAUCACCCUUAUACCUCCGCACAACCAACCUAUCUCCUCCAAUCUAGUACCAGCCAUAGCAAUUCAUAAAACAUUCAGAUUUCUAUAUUAACCAAUACAUACAACUAGUUAGUUCAUGUUCCUUUCAUACUAUCACCUGUGCUUCUAAUUAUGCAAUAUAAGAUAAUAUAAUAUCUAUACACAUCAUUGUUAACCUUACUCAUAUAAUACCACUAUCAGUUGGUAAAUUCCAAUACAUAAUCAAAACUACACAUUCUCCACCAAAUUUUUAACUUGUAGUUAAUAUACUACAAUACACUAAAAUUUUGGAGACAAUAUAAGUAAUAUACUUACCAUCUUGAAUAGAAUACUAACCAAGUCGUUUAAACUACUAGGCUUGCCCAUUGAAAACUUAAAAGAAAAACUCUCCACCCAAAUCAAUUCACUGUUACUGUUGCUGCCAUAGGCAACAGCCAUGUGCCUAUCAUGGCCAAUUCUUUAAUUUGUUGCUUCAAAUUCAAAUGUUCCUUUAUAUCCCUUUUUAGAUAUAUUACACCUAACAUAUAGCAGUAUUUGUAUAGAUCACAGCAUCAUCAUUUUAGUUUUAAUUGGCUGCACAAAACAGCCCAUAUAGAGCAUUAUAGAUAUGGUUUAAUACCAUUAUACCAAAACAGCACCAAGUAUUGAAUUCCAUAUAUUACCACAACAAGUACUUGCUAUAUACUAUAUUUUUCAUAAUACCUUACGAUUUUUGCUCAAAACACUUUUUAAGCUUCUAACACAAGUGUUAUUACAUCAUGUACUUGUUGCUAUAUAAUAUAGAUUCAUGACUUAAAGAACCUAAGUGCAAGGCUUCUAGUUUUGGUUUAAAACAGCCCUUCAUAGGCUUCAACUAGAUACAAGGUAGCAUGAUUUGAAAAAUUUUAGAUACCAAGGUAACAUGAUUAGGCAACAAGGAAACAAGGACUGUCUAUGUAUAUAAUAUAUUAGAAGCAAAGCAUGUUCACCAUAAGAAACUUUCAAUAACAGUCACAAGGACUGACUUUUAUUUAUUGAAAACUAACAUACUUAAACUUCACAAGUAAUAGUAUUAGUGGGUUGAAAUUAUAGACAUCUUGUUAUAGUGUACUAACUAGAUUAGAAGCAAGUGAUAGACAUUGCAAGUUAAGCUUCAAAUAGCAGUCCAUGUGGAGCCUACUAUUCUAGUUCAUUCUUACUUGCUUUGCUCAAGUGAUAAAUUACUAUAGAUUGCAACAUGAAAAGGUCAAUUAUAGAGUAUGCUUGAGGUAUUGCUCCCACUAUAUGGGCAAUUUGACAGGGUUUGAACUCCAAAUCACAGUUAGUACACAUAGAUACUACAACAGUCCUUAGCUUGGCAAAUUAUCAAACACAUAAAGUGCAGUUUAUAUACUUAUAUAUAUUACAUAAUCUUUUAACUUAUUGUUUCCCCCAGCCGUAUGGCUUAAACACAAGAAGAAUAUAACCAUUCCUAACAGUCUCAAUCAUAAAAUCCAAAAUAACAUUGAAACAGUCAUGGUGUUAAUUAAUUCAAUAGCCAUCCUAACCAUUAACAGUUCAGUUGCUACCAUUUAGAGAGACAGGAACGAAUGGAUUAGGAAGGCCAGAAUGAGCUUACUUGUUGAUUCGAAGGUUACAAGUCGAGCUGCUCAGUUUCCUUUUUCCUUCUCAGCCGUAGCCUUAACUGAUCUCUCUCUGUGAUUGCUAAAAAAUUUUGGAGCUCGGUGAAGGUAGUAUGUCUAUUUGAGCUUGAGAUGUCUUAUAGGGUCAUAUACGGUUGAAUUCCUUAUCUCUCAGUCCAACUAAUUGACCCCUUGCUGGCCUCUACAUAGCCAUUCUACCAAGCAGCAGCACUCAGUCCUAGCCUAGUUAAUUUGGCUCUUACCCAGCCACCCUUUCAAGCUUUCAGUAAUGAUUUCUAGUCUAGUCUACCCAGCCCCUAUUAGAAGUGUCAGCUUUCUGACUCAUAGUUGCCCUUUCCCUGGUUCUUGGAGGCAAGUUGUUGACUAUCAACUGAUUCCCUCAGCCUAACUGAACUACCUUUACCAGAGCUCAGUUCUUUAUUUUCUCUAUUCGGGCUACCAAAUAUGGCUGAGGAAAGGGGCUAGAUUUAAGUCUUGUUUUUGGGCUUAAUACAUAAGUCUAAUGUAGUAAUGAC
RNAcentral lists this long non-coding RNA (4991 nucleotides) under Panax ginseng (ginseng). RNAcentral's name for it is "long non-coding RNA (PGIN_LNC009129)". Lineage: Eukaryota; Viridiplantae; Streptophyta; Magnoliopsida; Apiales; Araliaceae. The record is from RNAcentral.